Molecule: ribosomal RNA, 497 nt
Filed under: uncultured bacterium
Lineage: Bacteria
Description: partial 16S ribosomal RNA
Rfam family: Bacterial small subunit ribosomal RNA
Source: RNAcentral
GAUGAACGCUGGCGGCGUGCCUAAUACAUGCAAGUCGAGCGAACAGACGAGGCGCUUGCUCCGCGGACGUUAGCGGCGGACGGGUGAGUAACACGUGUAUAACCUACCUAUAAGACUGGGAUAACUUGGGGAAACCGGAGCUAAUACCGGAUAAGAUAUUGAACCGCAUGGUUCAAUAGUGAAAGACGGUUUUGCUGUCACUUAUAGAUGGAUCCGCGCCGCAUUAGCUAGUUGGUAAGGUAACGGCUUACCAAGGCGACGAUGCGUAGCCGACCUGAGAGGGUGAUCGGCCACACUGGAACUGAGACACGGUCCAGACUCCUACGGGAGGCAGCAGUAGGGAAUCUUCCGCAAUGGGCGAAAGCCUGACGGAGCAACGCCGCGUGAGUGAUGAAGGUCUUCGGAUCGUAAAGCUCUGUUAUUAGGGAAGAACAAAUGUGUACGUAAAUAUGCAGGUCUUGACGGUACCUAAUCAGAAAGCCACGGCUAACUACGUG